AUGGUGGAGGACCUGCUGGCGCUGGGCAAGCUCAACAACUGCCUCGCCGUGUGCGACGUGUCGGGCAGCAUGAACGGCCUCCCCGUGGACGUAUGCGUGGCGCUCGGCCUCCUCCUCUCCGAGCUUUGCGACGAGCCAUGGCCCCACCGCGUCAUCACCUUCAGCGAGAAGCCGCAGCUGCACCACAUCUCCGGCGACACCCUCGCGGAGAAGACACGGUUCAUACGCGAGAUGGAAUGGGACAUGAACACCGACUUCCAGGCGGUGUUCGACCAGCUCCUGCGCGUGGCCGUCGCCGGCAAGGUCCCUCCGGAGCGCAUGGUGAAGAAGGUGUUCGUGUUCAGCGACAUGGAGUUCGACCAGGCAUCGUCGAGGCCGUGGGAGACCGACUACGAGGCGAUCACGAGGAAGUAUUCCGAGGCCGGGUACGGCGACGCCAUGCCGCAGAUUAUCUUCUGGAACCUGCGGGACUCAGACUCGGUGCCGGUGACGGCGCAUCAGAAGGGGGUGGCGCUGGUGAGCGGCUUCUCCAAGAACAUGGUGAAGCUGUUCCUCCAGGGCGAAUACAUCCUGUCGCCGAGGGCAGUCAUGGAGAAGGCCAUCGCCGGGCCGGAGUACCAAAAGCUCGUUGUGUUCGACUGA
Molecule: ribosomal RNA, 642 nt
Filed under: Triticum aestivum (bread wheat)
Lineage: Eukaryota; Viridiplantae; Streptophyta; Magnoliopsida; Poales; Poaceae
Description: partial small subunit ribosomal RNA
Source: RNAcentral